GUGGGGAAUUUUGGACAAUGGGCGCAAGCCUGAUCCAGCAAUGCCGCGUGCAGGAAGAAGGCCUUCGGGUUGUAAACUGCUUUUGUACGGAACGAAAAGGCUCUGGUUAAUACCUGGGGCUCAUGACGGUACCGUAAGAAUAAGCACCGGCUAACUACGUGCCAGCAGCCGCGGUAAUACGUAGGGUGCAAGCGUUAAUCGGAAUUACUGGGCGUAAAGCGUGCGCAGGCGGUGCUGUAAGACAGGCGUGAAAUCCCCGGGCUCAACCUGGGAAUUGCGCUUGUGACUGCAGUGCUGGAGUGCGGCAGAGGGGGAUGGAAUUCCGCGUGUAGCAGUGAAAUGCGUAGAUAUGCGGAGGAACACCGAUGGCGAAGGCAAUCCCCUGGGCCUGCACUGACGCUCAUGCACGAAAGCGUGGGGAGCAAACAGGAUUAGAAACCCCGGUAGUCC
Molecule: ribosomal RNA, 450 nt
Filed under: uncultured bacterium
Lineage: Bacteria
Description: partial 16S ribosomal RNA
Rfam family: Bacterial small subunit ribosomal RNA
Source: RNAcentral